ACACAUGCAAGUCGAACGGUAACAGGAAGAAGCUUCGCUUCUUUGCUGACGAGUGGCGGACGGGUGAGUAAUGUCUGGGAAACUGCCUGAUGGAGGGGGAUAACUACUGGAAACGGUAGCUAAUACCGCAUAACGUCGCAAGACCAAAGAGGGGGACCUUCGGGCCUCUUGCCAUCGGAUGUGCCCAGAUGGGAUUAGCUAGUAGGUGGGGCAACGGCUCACCUAGGCGACGAUCCCUAGCUGGUCUGAGAGGAUGACCAGCCACACUGGAACUGAGACACGGUCCAGACUCCUACGGGAGGCAGCAGUGGGGAAUAUUGCACAAUGGGCACAAGCCUGAUGCAGCCAUGCCGCGUGUAUGAAGAAGGCCUUCGGGUUGUAAAGUACUUUCAGCGGGGAGGAAGGGAGUAAAGUUACUACCUUUGCUCAUUGACGUUACCCGCAGAAGAAGCACCGGCUAACUCCGUGCCAGCAGCCGCGGUAAUACGGAGGGUGCAAGCGUUAAUCGGAAUUACUGGGCGUAAAGCGCACGCAGGCGGUUUGUUAAGUCAGAUGUGAAAUCCCCGGGCUCAACCUGGGAACUGCAUCUGAUACUGGCAAGCUUGAGUCUCGUAGAGGGGGGUAGAAUUCCAGGUGUAGCGGUGAAAUGCGUAGAGAUCUGGAGGAAUACCGGUGGCGAAGGCGGCCCCCUGGACGAAGACUGACGCUCAGGUGCGAAAGCGUGGGGAGCAAACAGGAUUAGAUACCCUGGUAGUCCACGCCGUAAACGAUGUCGACUUGGAGGUUGUGCCCUUGAGGCGUGGCUUCCGGAGCUAACGCGUUAAGUCGACCGCCUGGGGAGUACGGCCGCAAGGUUAAAACUAAAUGAAUUGACGGGGGCCCGCACAAGCGGUGGAGCAUGUGGUUUAAUUCGAUGCAACGCGAAGAACCUUACCUGGUCUUGACAUCCAUGGAAGUUUUCAGAGAUGAGAAUGUGCCUUCGGGAUCCGUGAGACAGGUGCUGCAUGGCUGUCGUCAGCUCGUGUUGUGAAAUGUUGGGUUAAGUUCCGCAACGAGCGCAUCCCUUAUCCUUUGUUGCCAGCGGUCCGGCCGGGAAUUCAAAGGAGACUGCCAGUGAUAAACUGGAGGAAGGUGGGGAUGACGUCAAGUCAUCAUGGCCUUUACGACCAGGGCUACACACGUGCUACAAUGGCGCAUACAAAGAGAAGUGACCUCGCGAGAGCAAGCGGACCUCAUAAAGUGCGUCGUAGUCCGGAUUGGAGUCUGCAACUCGACUCCAUGAAGUCGGAAUCGCUAGUAAUCGUGGAUCAGAAUGCCACGGUGAAUACGUUCCCGGGCCUUGUACACACCGCCCGUCACACCAUGGGAGUGGGUUGCAAAAGAAGUAGGUAGCUUAACCUUCGGGAGGGCGCUUACCACUUUGUGAUUCAUGAC
RNAcentral lists this ribosomal RNA (1434 nucleotides) under uncultured bacterium. RNAcentral describes it as "bacterial SSU rRNA". It matches the Rfam family "Bacterial small subunit ribosomal RNA". The record is from RNAcentral.